RNAcentral lists this long non-coding RNA (441 nucleotides) under Phoenix dactylifera (date palm). RNAcentral describes it as "long non-coding RNA (PDAC_LNC021620)". Lineage: Eukaryota; Viridiplantae; Streptophyta; Magnoliopsida; Arecales; Arecaceae. The record is from RNAcentral.
GAAAUCCGACCGUUACUAUGCAAGGGCGGAUCUCAUUAUUAUAAAUCAAGACUAUAUAUAUUAGUUUUUGAAUCAUCAACGAAAAGAAAGAGGAGCUAAAUCCUAUUUUUUUAUUUUCUUUUUGUCUUUCUCUAAAUUUUUUUUAAGAGAUUUAAGUUGAGUAAGUAGAGAAAAUUCUUCUUUUUUCCUGAUCAGACCAUACUAUAAAUAUAUUAAAACAUCACUUUGUAAGUUUAAUUAAUGUUGUUAUUCAACACAUAAAAGAGAAAUACUUAGAUUGAUAGGUGCUCUCCUAGGUUUAAAAAUUUAGAUUUUCACAACUAAUCCAACAAAAAGGAAUUUUACCCUAUAUUUUUCGGUAUAAGUCCUAUUGGCCGUCUCACAAUCUCCAUUACCACACCAACUCACUUUAUAUGAGCCUAACUCCCUACCAUCCGAUCU